GUGAAUCAUCAAAUUUUUGAACGCAAAUUGCGCUUCCUGGCAUCCCGGGAAGUAUGCCUGUUUGAGGGUCAGUAUUAAUAAAAAAAUCGGUUUAGUUACAAAUUGUGACGUUUCGGGGGUUUGGGCUAUCUUAACAUUUUUGGUUAAGAGGCUUAAAUUUGACUUUUUUUGCGCAUUUUUAAACGAACAUAAUUUUUUUUAUUCUUUUUUUCUUAUGCCCAAAUUCCUAUU
This 231-nucleotide unclassified non-coding RNA is filed under the name Glomeromycetes sp. Its description in RNAcentral is "partial contains 5.8S ribosomal RNA and internal transcribed spacer 2". The stretch from base 1 to 71 matches the Rfam family "5.8S ribosomal RNA", at positions 84 to 154 of the family's 154-position model. The record is from RNAcentral. Lineage: Eukaryota; Fungi; Glomeromycota; Glomeromycetes.